AGUAGAGAGACAGGCUGCAGUAACAGAGUAGGGAGACAGGCUGCAGUAACAGAGUAGGGAGACAGGCUGCAGUAACAGAGUAGGGAGACAGGCUGCAGUAACAGAGUAGGGAGACAGGCUGCAGUAACAGAGUAGGGAGACAGGCUGCAGUAACAGAGUAGGGAGACAGGCUGCAGUAACAAGUAGGGAGACAGGCUACAGUAACAGAGUAGGGAGACAGGCUGCAGUAACAGAGUAGGGAGACAGGCUGCAG
This is a long non-coding RNA of Coregonus clupeaformis (lake whitefish), 253 nucleotides long. RefSeq lists it as uncharacterized. The record is from RefSeq and is a predicted model, not a curated record. NCBI's taxonomy places the organism in Eukaryota, Metazoa, Chordata, Actinopteri, Salmoniformes, Salmonidae. The transcript is spliced from 2 exons.